This 720-nucleotide transfer RNA is filed under the name uncultured cyanobacterium. RNAcentral describes it as "partial miscellaneous RNA". The stretch from base 249 to 321 matches the Rfam family "tRNA". Lineage: Bacteria; Bacillati; Cyanobacteriota. The record is from RNAcentral.
CAGGGGGACAAACAAUUGAUCAUGAUGUCUGAGAAUUAAUACUUAGGCCAUGGUCCUGUCACCUUAGGUCGAUCGGUACCUCAAUUAAAUCUAUAAACUAAUUCUUUUUGUGGAUUUGAAUCAGUUCCUAAACUUGUCUAGGUCACACCCAACAAGGGUACUCCUGGGCCAUUAGCUCAGGUGGUUAGAGCGCACCCCUGAUAAGGGUGAGGUCCCUGGUUCAAGUCCAGGAUGGCCCAUUCGGUGUUGGGGGUAUAGCUCAGUUGGUAGAGCGCCUGCUUUGCAAGCAGGAUGUCAGCGGUUCGAGUCCGCUUACCUCCACUGAUCGAUCUCCUGAUAACGAAGGCAAGGGGAAUUUUGUUUAGUGUGAUUUAGGCUUAGUUCAGCUCAUUGAACCUAGCUUCCUAUCAUUCCGAAUUCUUUAGUAUUACUAAUGGAUUAAGGUUGACAGGACGCUGGGCUCUCUACAUUUAAUAAUGUAGUGGAUGUUCAGCAGAACCUUGACAACUGCAUAGUAUUUAAGUCUGGAAAGAAUAAAGCAUCUCAUGGAUGAAUUGUUCUUUGGAUUGAGGAAAUUAUAUUUCUUUCAAUUCUAAGUAUCAAUUAAAUUCUUGAGCAAAUUAGAUAAGAACCUCUAUAGAACUUUUUUGUUUUUAAUCAAAAGAGUUUGGUUUAUAUAUCAUUUAGGAGCUUUAAAUCUCCUAAAUUAUAGAGAUUAAU